This 253-nucleotide ribosomal RNA is filed under the name uncultured bacterium. RNAcentral's name for it is "partial 16S ribosomal RNA". It matches the Rfam family "Bacterial small subunit ribosomal RNA", at positions 524 to 776 of the family's 1533-position model. The record is from RNAcentral.
UACAGAGGUCCCAAGCGUUGUUCGGAUUUACUGGGCGUAAAGCGUGCGCAGGCGGUUCGUCGUGUCCGAUGUGAAAGCCCCGGGCUCAACCUGGGAAUGGCAUUGGAAACUGGCGGGCUUGAGUGUGGCAGAGGGGGGUGGAAUUCCGCGUGUAGCAGUGAAAUGCGUAGAGAUGCGGAGGAACACCGAUGGCGAAGGCAGCCCCCUGGGCUGACACUGACGCUCAGGCACGAAAGCGUGGGGAGCAAACAGG